RNAcentral lists this ribosomal RNA (817 nucleotides) under uncultured bacterium. RNAcentral describes it as "bacterial SSU rRNA". It matches the Rfam family "Bacterial small subunit ribosomal RNA", at positions 60 to 862 of the family's 1533-position model. The record is from RNAcentral.
AGUCGAGGGGCAGCGGGGAGCAAGCUUGCUUGCUCUGCCGGCGACCGGCGCACGGGUGAGUAACACGUAUGCAACCUGCCCUCCGCAGGGGGAUAACCCGGAGAAAUCCGGACUAAUACCGCGUGGUACACCUGUGGGGCAUCCCACGGGUGUUAAAAGGAAGUGAUUCCGGCGGAGGAUGGGCAUGCGGCGCAUUAGCUUGUUGGCGGGGUAACGGCCCACCAAGGCUACGAUGCGUAGGGGUUCUGAGAGGAAGGUCCCCCACACAGGUACUGAGACACGGACCAGACUCCUACGGGAGGCAGCAGUGAGGAAUAUUGGUCAAUGGGCGGGAGCCUGAACCAGCCAAGUCGCGUGAGGGAAGACGGUCCUAUGGAUUGUAAACCUCUUUAGGCGGGGAGCAAUGCCGGGCACGCGUGCCCGGAGGGAGAGUACCCGCAGAAUAAGCAUCGGCUAACUCCGUGCCAGCAGCCGCGGUAAUACGGAGGAUGCGAGCGUUAUCCGGAUUUAUUGGGUUUAAAGGGUGCGUAGGCGGAUUUUUAAGUCAGCGGUAAAAUGUCCGGGCUCAACCCGGGCCGGCCGUUGAAACUGGGGAUCUUGAGUGGGCGAGAAGUAUGCGGAAUGCGUGGUGUAGCGGUGAAAUGCAUAGAUAUCACGCAGAACUCCGAUUGCGAAGGCAGCAUACCGGCGCCCGACUGACGCUGAGGCACGAAAGCGUGGGGAUCGAACAGGAUUAGAUACCCUGGUAGUCCACGCAGUAAACGAUGAAUGCUAGUUGUCCGGUUCUUUGGGACUGGGUGACACAGCGAAAGCGUUA